This 149-nucleotide ribosomal RNA is filed under the name uncultured bacterium. Its description in RNAcentral is "partial 16S ribosomal RNA". It matches the Rfam family "Bacterial small subunit ribosomal RNA", at positions 357 to 526 of the family's 1533-position model. The record is from RNAcentral.
UCGCGUGUUGGCUGGGCGCAGCCUGAUCCAGCAUGCCGCGUGUGUGAAGAAGGUCUUCGGAUUGUAAAGCACUUUUGGCAGGGACGAUGAUGACGGUACCUGCAGAAUAAGCCCCGGCUAACUUCGUGCCAGCAGCCGCGGUAAUAAAC